AGGCGAGCGUUAUCCGGAUUCACUGGGCGUAAAGCGCAUGUAGGCGGAUGUCUAAGUCGUGUGUUAAAGCCCCUGGCUCAACUGGGGGAGGUCUUGCGAGACUGGAUGACUUGAGGGCAACAGAGGCACGUGGAACUCCCGGUGUAGCGGUGGAAUGCGUAGAGAUCGGGAAGAACACCCGUGGCGAAGGCGGCGUGCUGGGUUGCAACUGACGCUGAGAUGCGAAAGUGUGGGGAGCAAACGGG
This 245-nucleotide ribosomal RNA is filed under the name uncultured bacterium. RNAcentral describes it as "partial 16S ribosomal RNA". It matches the Rfam family "Bacterial small subunit ribosomal RNA", at positions 532 to 776 of the family's 1533-position model. The record is from RNAcentral.